GUAUAAAAAGCGACCAAAGGCAGCAUGGGCAUAUCCUUUUGAGUCGUCUCUCACCAACAAUGCGACUGCUGCCAUUGAUUGUCGUGCUUUGUGUGGUGUUGGUGACCACUGAAGGUGGAAGGUGUCGCAAAUUCGGCAAGGCGUGUGGAAAAUGGAACAGGGAUGUCUGCCGCUGGUGUUGGAGGCCCCACAAACGUCUCUGCUGUCUUCCGGGCGACACAUACGGUGAAUGCGGGAGAAAAUGCAGUUUCCCAAAUACCUGCAGCACACUAAACGGCAAAUGUCACAAAGGAUGGUGCUGCGUCUUCUGCAAAGGAAAACAUUGCAAGAAAGGCUAGCUGCACCACUUGCUGCCGGCUGCCGCUGUCGUCAAGGGAUAGGUAACGACUGCACUGACACCAGAUGUGAAGUGACUGCAUGCACAAAGAAGACCCAUGCUAUGCUGGUGGCGUAACAGCAAGGUCGCACGUAAUUAUUAACAGGUGUUUAUGCGAAGCGGACAUUUAGCUGCUUGUAGUUGGGCUUUACGUUGAAUACAAUUACGGAACCAACUAUUUGUUAGCAUCUGUUG
Pollicipes pollicipes is the source of this 571-nucleotide long non-coding RNA. RefSeq lists it as uncharacterized. The transcript has 3 exons. The record is from RefSeq and is a predicted model, not a curated record. NCBI's taxonomy places the organism in Eukaryota, Metazoa, Arthropoda, Thecostraca, Pollicipedomorpha, Pollicipedidae.